This 429-nucleotide ribosomal RNA is filed under the name uncultured bacterium. RNAcentral's name for it is "bacterial SSU rRNA". It matches the Rfam family "Bacterial small subunit ribosomal RNA", at positions 355 to 776 of the family's 1533-position model. The record is from RNAcentral.
UGGGGAAUUUUGGACAAUGGGCGCAAGCCUGAUCCAGCCAUUCCGCGUGAGUGAAGAAGGCCUUCGGGUUGUAAAGCUCUUUCGCAAGGGAAGAAAACUUAUCCUCUAACAUAGGAUGAGGUUGACGGUACCUUGAUAAGAAGCACCGGCUAACUACGUGCCAGCAGCCGCGGUAAUACGUAGGGUGCAAGCGUUAAUCGGAAUUACUGGGCGUAAAGCGUGCGCAGGCGGUUAUACAAGACAGGCGUGAAAUCCCCGGGCUUAACCUGGGAAUGGCGCCUGUGACUGUAUAGCUAGAGUGUGUCAGAGGGGGGUAGAAUUCCGCGUGUAGCAGUGAAAUGCGUAGAUAUGCGGAGGAACACCGAUGGCGAAGGCAGCCCCCUGGGAUAAUACUGACGCUCAUGCACGAAAGCGUGGGGAGCAAACAGG